RNAcentral lists this long non-coding RNA (1672 nucleotides) under Citrus x clementina. RNAcentral's name for it is "Citrus clementina (C. clementina) long non-coding RNA (CCLE_LNC005834)". Lineage: Eukaryota; Viridiplantae; Streptophyta; Magnoliopsida; Sapindales; Rutaceae. The record is from RNAcentral.
AUUAUAAUUUGAAAUAUGUGUUAUUUCAGCCAAUGAUUAAUACUAAAAAACUUAUCACCCAUAUAACUUUUUAAUUUGUGUGUAGGGUAAUAAUAAAAUUGAAAAUAAUUAAAAAAAUAGCACAAUAAUACUUUGAGUUUUAACAAUAAAACAAAUCAAAUGAAAAUUGAGAAUUUAGAAAAGUGUAUCUAAAAAAAAAAGGCAUUUUUGGAAAUAAAAAAAUAAUUAGAAAGGAGGUUUUAUGAAGAAAUCAGAGGGUUGCCAAUAGUAUAACUCCAAAUAAUUUGAUGGUAACAUCAUUUGCCAUCAAAUGACAACUGUGUAGAGUAAUAUCUGAAAUACAAGUGUGCAACCCAAGAGGGGGGGGUGAAUUGAGAUUCUAAAAAUUAUUUGAUUCUAAAAAAAAUUAUCAUGCAAAUUUAAAAUGAAUUUAAUAGAAUAACAAUUAAAUCAAUUACAAUAUAAAAAGAUAAGGGAAGAGAGAUUCAAACACGAAGAUUUUUACGUAGUUCGGCCAACCUCGCCUACGUCCACGUCUCCAUGCUUUCCGGGCUUGAGGAUUUCACUAAGUAAGUCUCCAAGGCUUUAAAUACUUACACUUGACUUCCAAAGUGUCAAUGAACCUUUACAACAAGAGAUUAUCUCCAAUCUCUUAACCCAAAUGUAUUCCAACACUUACAAUCACUCAAAGUAAAAGAUUAAAAAUUAUUUUUCUCUCACACAAUAUUUAAGAUUACAAAUCAAUGCCCAAUGUGUGAAUAGAUGAAGUAAGAAUAUGUUUUAAAGUUCUAUGAAGAUUGUAUUAUCAAAUAUAAGCUCAAUGGUCGUGUUGUAAUCAAUCUUAUUUGAAUUUGAAUGAGUUUAUUUAUAGUUGGAGUUGAAAAACUAGCCGUUAUAGAUUGUCUGCUUGAAAACGGUUCGCCGUUAACCAUUAACGGUUAACCGUUUAGGUUGGUCAAAGUUACCGUUGGACCAAUUUUUAAAUAAACGGUUUGCCGUUUAGGAUUACCCUUUUGCCGUUAAAUUUCCAGAGACCUGCAAGAUAAACAUAAGUUAUUCGUUUACAUUAAACGAUUAAGGAUUUGCAUGAAAUGACCUAUUUGGAAUUUUAUCGGUUAGUCGUUUGUAAUAAACGGUCGCCAUUUGUAAUAAACGGUUCACCGUUUGUUUCCAGUAACCUGUAGAAUAAGUUAGCCUUAUCCAUUUCAGUUAAACUUUUACCGUUUGUUUCCAGUAACAAGAUGAACACAGUUUUUCAUUCUGGAUUUUAUCGGUUAACCGUUUCAAUAAACGGUUCACGGUUUAAUUCCAGUUGCCUUCUCACCAUUUUGUGUUUUCCGUUUUUGUUAACCGAUUAGAGCUUAAGCAAUUCGUUACUCUCUGGAUUUAAUCGGUUAGCCGUUAAAAAUAAACGGUUCACCGUUUAUUUCCAGAAUCAUAGUUUUAGCCAGAUAUUGCAGAGAAUCAUUUUCCAAUUUCAAGUUUAACAGUUAUCCAACUUUUAUAAAUAUAAUUGAAAUGAUUAUAAGGUUUUCGUUUAUUAAUGAAUAGUUCCAACAUUUUAAUAAAAAAUAUUUAAAGUUUGUUAUCAUCAAAAUCAAUAUCAUGAAUAUAUACAUGUUAACAAUGUCCAUUUAUGGGUUAACUAAAUUUGAACUAUGCUUAAAUGCUU